RNAcentral lists this long non-coding RNA (1048 nucleotides) under Mustela putorius furo (domestic ferret). RNAcentral's name for it is "lncRNA (ENSMPUG00000029039.1)". The record is from RNAcentral. Lineage: Eukaryota; Metazoa; Chordata; Mammalia; Carnivora; Mustelidae.
GCAAUCAGUCAGCCCCGAGAACUGUUAGCGACCGAGACGCAGCUCUAGGUGAUUUCCACUACCUUCCUACCCCCACUCUAGGCGUUCUUUUGGAGGCAGCAAGAGCGGUGGCAGGAUGUGAGGCGAGCCUGGAGCGUACUUUCCAGCGCUGCUCCCUCUUCGGAGCUAGGGAGGACCGUGUAGGUUUUUGCGCACAGGCUGGAGAGGGUUCCUGGGAAAGCCUGAAGCCUGGAACAGGCGGGAGAGAGGUGAGCAGUCACAGUUCGCACCUGAAGCCUACGCUGCAGUCUGGGUAGUAGGGCUGUUGCCCUUGAGGCGUACGUGCUUCUUGAGGAGAGAGAGAGUCACAGGCUGAGACACCUGCAUCCCUCGGUGUACCAUUUGGCCAAGAUAAGGUGCUGCUGGAGCACAGCUGCUCCGAAGCAAAGUCGCAAAGGAAGAGGCUGAGAGGCAGGCGACUUAGGAAGAGUCUGGUCACGGAGCCGAGAGGCGGCACCUGACGAUCUAGCAAAGGGAAGAGUAAUUUAGGAACCUUUUUUAUCCUCCCUGUCCAGCUCCCCCUAAAGUCUACAAAAACUCUGUUGAACUCUAGAAAUCUUGCUUGGAUUAGGAGAAUUUUCCUAGCACCCUCCUUGGCUAGGACAGGGAGUGGAGAAAACAGGCGGGGCUGCUCUGUCCACUGCUCCGGAAGACACCCUUUCCUCCAAGCCACCUCCAGCUCUGAUCGCCCUUGGGGAGCCUCCCCUUUCGCCCAGCAAGCUCAAGCCCACACUCCUUGGAACCCAGCUCUUCCUCUCGCCCUGGACCUAUUGUCCCAGACAUGGAACUGCAUGCGUGAGCCCUGCCGGACAUCGCCUGCUGUUGUGGAAGACUCAGACAGCUGCCAAGGAAAGUGAAUGAUGAAGCCACCAUUUCUUUUGGCCCUUGUGGUCUGUUCUGUAGUCAGCACAAAUUUGAGGAUGGUGUCAAAGAGAAAUUCUGGUAAGUUGCUGGCAAACUCCACUUAGUCAAAAAUGUGUAGUUUUUGUGAGAAUCCAGAGAGCAUUUG